GGGGGAUUAGCUCAUUUGGUAGAGCGCUUCCAUGGCAUGGAAGAGGUAUGGGGUUCGACUCCCCAAUUCUCCA
Molecule: transfer RNA, 73 nt
Filed under: Chroococcus sp. CMT-3BRIN-NPC107
Lineage: Bacteria; Bacillati; Cyanobacteriota; Cyanophyceae; Chroococcales; Chroococcaceae
Description: tRNA-Ala
Rfam family: tRNA
About the family: Transfer RNA (tRNA) molecules are approximately 80 nucleotides in length. Their secondary structure includes four short double-helical elements and three loops (D, anti-codon, and T loops). Further hydrogen bonds mediate the characteristic L-shaped molecular structure. tRNAs have two regions of fundamental functional importance: the anti-codon, which is responsible for specific mRNA codon recognition, and the 3' end, to which the tRNAs corresponding amino acid is attached (by aminoacyl-tRNA synthetases). tRNAs cope with the degeneracy of the genetic code in two manners: having more than one tRNA (with a specific anti-codon) for a particular amino acid; and 'wobble' base-pairing, i.e. permitting non-standard base-pairing at the 3rd anti-codon position.
Source: RNAcentral